Molecule: unclassified non-coding RNA, 215 nt
Filed under: soil metagenome
Description: partial contains 5.8S ribosomal RNA, internal transcribed spacer 2, and large subunit ribosomal RNA
Source: RNAcentral
AACCAUAGAAACCUGCGGAGUACCUGCGGAAGGAUCAUUACAAGUGACCCCGGUCUAACCACCGGGAUGUUCAUAACCCUUUGUUGUCCGACUCUGUUGCCUCCGGGGCGACCCUGCCUUCGGGCGGGGGCUCCGGGUGGACACUUCAAACUCUUGCGUAACUUUGCAGUCUGAGUAAAUUUAAUUAAUAAAUUAAAACUUUCAGCAAUGGAUCU